GAUGAAUGCUGGCGGCGUGUCUAAGGCAUGCAAGUCGCGCGGACAUAAUGCGAUUACAUCAAGCUAUGUUAGCGGCAGACGGGAGCGGAACACAUUGGUAACAUUCCUCGAAGUCGUGAACAACCCCGGGAAACUGGGGCUAAUACACGAUGGUCAAGGGGGGACGAAAGUCAUUCCCUUGUAAAGCUUCGGCGCUUCGAGAUUGGCCUAUGUCCUAUCAGCUAGUUGGUGAGGUAACGGCUCACCAAGGCUAUGACGGGUAGGGGGCGUAAGAGCGUGGCCCCCCUCACUGGGACUGAGACACUGCCCAGACACCUACGGGUGGCUGCAGUCAAGAAUAUUCGGCAAUGGACGAAAGUCUGACCGAGCGACGCCGCGUGCCAGACGAAGCCCUUCGGGGUGUAAAUGGCUUUUUUCAGGGACGAACAAAUGACGGUACCUGAAGAAUAAGAGGUUGCUAACUCUGUGCCAGCAGCAGCGGUAAUACAGAGACCUCGAGCAUUAUCCGGAAUUAUUGGGCGUAAAGGGUCCGUAGGCGGCUUCUUAAGUCAUGCGUCAAAUCUUUGGGCUCAACCCAGAGGCUGCGUGUGAUACUGGGAGGCUAGAGGUCGGGAGAGGCAUGUGGAAUUGUCGGUGUAGCGGUAAAAUGCGUUAAUAUCGACAAGAACACCAAAUGCGAAGGCAGCAUGCUGGAACGAUUCUGACGCUGAGGGACGAAAGCGUGGGUAGCGAAUGGGAUUAGAUACCCCAGUAGUCCACGCCCUAAACGAUGAGUGCUAGAUAUCAGGAGUAUCGACCCUCCUGGUGUCGUUGAACCAAGCUAACGCGUUAAGCACUCCGCCUGGGGAGUACGGUCGCAAGACUAAAACUCAGAGGAAUAGACGGGGACCCGCACAAGCGGUGGAGCAUGUGGUUUAAUUCGACGGUAAGCGUAGAACCUUACCUGGGCUUGAAAGGUAGCUGCAAGGCCGGUGAAAGCUG
This 981-nucleotide ribosomal RNA is filed under the name uncultured bacterium. RNAcentral's name for it is "bacterial SSU rRNA". It matches the Rfam family "Bacterial small subunit ribosomal RNA", at positions 28 to 1010 of the family's 1533-position model. The record is from RNAcentral.